CGUAGGCGGCGCGGUAAGUCGGGUGUGAAAUCUCGGAGCUUAACUCCGAAACUGCAUUCGAUACUGCCGUGCUUGAGGACUGGAGAGGAGACUGGAAUUUACGGUGUAGCGGUGAAAUGCGUAGAUAUCGUAAGGAAGACCAGUGGCGAAGGCGGGUCUCUGGACAGUUCCUGACGCUGAGGCACGAAGGUCAGGGGAGCAAACG
This 205-nucleotide ribosomal RNA is filed under the name uncultured bacterium. Its description in RNAcentral is "partial 16S ribosomal RNA". It matches the Rfam family "Bacterial small subunit ribosomal RNA", at positions 570 to 774 of the family's 1533-position model. The record is from RNAcentral.